CUGAGGAAAGAGGUGCAUACCCUUGAGCGUGGCAAGCUGAUGUAAGAGACGGUUCUUCUCAAGAUCGGGACGUCUUCAUGGCCAUUGUCACGAGUUCCGACCCAAAUGCUAUUCUUGACCGCUGCAGACUUUUCUAUCGUCAGUCUCGUUCGUCUGGCGGAAUGCAGAGGAGUUAACUUUGAGAAAUUAACAUCGUCUGUGGCAGCAGGUAUGUGUUGGCCCUUAGGUAGCCCUUAGGUAGCCCUUAGUAAGCUCAUAGUUUACUUGAAGUUCAAGUUUUGUUAUUGUCAUAGAUCGGUAACCUUUUGCUUUUGUCACAUUUAUAAUGAAUAACUUUAAUAUCAUAACCAAGGUUUACUGUGAUCUAAUGGACAGUGUUACUUGCCAAAUUUAAUGCUCAGGUGUAACUUUUCGUGUUAUAAUUACCUGAAUAAAAUUUUAUUAAACAACUAGU
This is a long non-coding RNA of Cydia amplana, 454 nucleotides long. RefSeq lists it as uncharacterized. The transcript is spliced from 2 exons. The record is from RefSeq and is a predicted model, not a curated record. NCBI's taxonomy places the organism in Eukaryota, Metazoa, Arthropoda, Insecta, Lepidoptera, Tortricidae.